This is a long non-coding RNA of Panicum hallii, 609 nucleotides long. RefSeq lists it as uncharacterized. Lineage: Eukaryota; Viridiplantae; Streptophyta; Magnoliopsida; Poales; Poaceae. The record is from RefSeq and is a predicted model, not a curated record. The transcript is spliced from 6 exons.
CAGCGGGAAGUCCUAUUCAAGAUUAUCCCCACAUAUACUCUGGACAGAAGCGGCCUUUUUCAGCACUGGGCAAUGAUUCUUCUUAUUGUGCGAGCCGCAACCCUCGUGCUCAACAUGAGAGUAGUACCUAUGCUACAUUAACUUCAAGCUAUGGUGGGUCGCCCCAUGCCAUCACUGGGUAUUCUCCUCCAUAUCAUCAUGACACACCAGGAGAUGUCUGCCAGAUUCUGAUUAUGGACUAACAGAACCACGGGGUGGAAUUCAGAUGAUGCAAGCCAGUUCUCACAAAUCAGGGCCGCCCCAAGGAAGCAGACGUUAACAGAGAUGCAAAUUGACCGCAGCUAAAGAUGAUCGUUUUGCGACUCGGGCAAUCGAGAGGAUUCAUGUAAAUUCACAUGAAGGCGUGUCCCAGGAGCCUCAUAGCUGACCCGGAAAUAGUUGGGGGUUAUAGGAUGGUCAUGUCUGUGUCGUACAUUUGUGUACAGCUUACCUUUGAGUGUAGCAAAUGGUGCUGUGUGCAUAUUCUGCGCUAGUUAUCAUGUGCGAUUAAGGUCGGAAAUGCUUUUGUUACUCCAUCUAACAUCCAAAGGAGAAGCAAGUAUUUUUCUC